ACCUGGGUGAGUUUACCCUUAGUGGGAAGUAGGAAGUUAAACAGGUGUACAGCCUUACAUCUGCAGUCUUCUUUUUUCCUACAUACAAGUAUGUUGAAUGUUUCACACUGACAAGAAAGUAGAUUAGAUGGUAUGUCCUUUAAGUUACCUUGCAUCCAUUCUGGAAGAAAGAAGUAGGAGAGGAAGAAAAGCAAGCCGAGCCUGGCUGAUGUUCAGAGCAUUUAUCCUUCAGAAGGAGCAGACACUGUAUACUAAGCACACAGCUGCUUUUGACUCCUCCCAAGUCUUAAGGUAAUUUCAUGACCUUGGCCAAGGAUACUUGGUGAAGAUUAAUGAGGGGACAUUGACAAUGCCUCAGGCUGGCCACUCCUCACACCUGGCCUUUGGUCCCCAGCCUUUCAAGGGACUGCUCAUCCCAUCCCUAACUCCCCGGGUGUCACAGCAGGCGCAUUCUUGGCUUUGAUUUCAAGAGUUCUCUCCUGGCACCUUCCACCAGAUGUCAGUUAAAGGGCAGGAGUAGAGCAGAGAGGUGUGGGGAGGAGGCUCUGAAAUCUUAAGUUGCCUAGGCCUACAGCUUAGGGCUCUGGCAGUUGAAAUGGCCCGAAACGGGGCAUCAUCAUGUCUGGAUGCGGCUCUGGCUUUGUGAUUCCAGCUCCUACCAGCUCCACCUUGACCUCUUGUCACCAUGCAGGGCUGUCUGGGAGGAAACUGGCCACUUGUGCUCAGACUGCUGCCAGCAUUCUCACAGCUUUGCUCUCCACAUUAAUGACCUAGAUUAUUCCAGUAUUGUUUCCAUUUCCCACCUGACCUCCAGCUUCUCAGAGCUGACUUCUUGCAGGGGCCACAUGCUUCUCUUUCCCUCACUAACUGCAGGGUCUCCAGCACACCUCAGUGUACACACUUUGCUGCUACCGUCUGUACUGUCUACAUCACAAUUCCCUGAGCUUGCUCCUGGUACUGCAUUACAGGCAAGCAUGAAGUGUAAAGUAUUUAUUUAAAUAAAAAGGAAACCUCUGGAUUGGUCACCGAGUCACCUCCCUAUAGAUUCGUAGUCUGUGGCAUAUUUUGACUUUCUAGUUCUUCUGCUAGAUCCAUACAAGGUCUGGUCAUCUGGUUAAGGGUUUGAAGCAGACACAGCUACGAACCCGGAUGCUGUCAUCACUGUCACGGCUGGCUACACUACAGAUGUUCGUGUCCUUACAUUUAUGACCACAGGGUGUGAAGUAACUACCAAGAACCUGGUUUUGUACACUGUACACCUCGGUAUCUCACACUCUGACAGGGACACACAUGACUUCCUUCGUACAGACAGCUUAAAUAAAGCCCUGUGUCAAUCCGCUACUCCUCUGUUUGUUGUUGUUGGAUAUGGCUCUGUAACUUCAGAAAACUAAAUUUCGUUCUUUUCUGGAAAAAGGACUAUAGCCCCAGCUGUUAUUAACCAGCCUGUAUGACGGUGUGACAGGAAAAGAGGUAAAUAGAUAAGACACAGACGGGGUGUUCCCCUUGACCAAAAUGCCAAUAGCCUGUGUGUUUGUAGCAACUGAUGAAGGGCUAGGAGUGCAGUCCCUGGCCACCAGCAGCAGAUUUUAAGGCACAUCUACUAGGAUGCCAGAAAAAGAGUAGAUUGCAGACCCUAAAGGUCUUGAUAAGAAAUGGUGUGGGCCCCAAAUUCUCAAGGAAUGCAGCUUGUCACUAAUGUCUUCCUGAUAACACACAGCUCCAGACACUUCUUUGCAAGUGUAUCUUUAACCCUUCAUGUCAGUUUAUAACGUAGACAUAGUAAUCGAUGGCCAGAAUGUCUGGAUUACAUUGUUUUGGAUGGGGUGUAUUUCUGAUUUUACCUCAUAAGCUACAACUGUAGAACUUGGCUUUGCUCUUGUGAGUUCAACAGGGAGAGGAGUGACUUUUGGGACCAGUUAGUCAGGCAUGCAUGUGUAUUUCUCACAGCCAAAUCUGGAGGCAUUCUUACAUGUGCUGUCCUCAAAAUCAACUGGGGUUGGCAGAUCCAUGAGGCUGAAAUAAAGUGACCUCUACAACUCUUUAAAGGUGCUAUUUUUAGAAUAUUGUAUAAUUUAUUCAUGGUAUAAAUACAUAAAACAGAAUUGAGGACAGUUAAAAUAUGUGACAGCUUUAUUGCUAGCACAUUUGAUGAAACCAGAAACUUCUCAGAAUAGAAGUUCUGCUGUUCGAGGCUUGCACCUUUGACAUGCCCCAGAGAUGAGGAUGGCCCAUGCACCGUCCUGCUACCACCACCUCCAUGGCCUAAGCUGCAUGUUUGUGAGGGGCAGGCUGAGCAUGUGGACACCAGGCCUCAGCUGAGCGCCCUGGGCUGCUGGGCUGCUGGGCUGCUGGCAGGGAGAGGUGAGGUGUCACAUGCAGCCUUGCCCCCAGUGUUUCAUCCCACCCUCAAACGCCGUGACCAUCUCAGCAUCCAGGCUCUAUUCCUGUCUGUCUGUUCGCUUUUGUUUUUUGUUUUUGUCUUCGUUCGUUUUGUGGAGCCGGGAGAGGACCCCGGGGCCUCACAUGCUGGGCAAGUGCCCUGCCACCGAGCUACACCCCAGACCUUCCAGUGUCCAUUUGUGUUCCUUUAAAGCAUUUGAGGGCUUGACUGUAUAGUAGAAAUACUAUUUUAGACUAAGAAUAUGAUCUGUGUACAGAUAUUUGAUAUACUGUUAAGUAAAUUUUCUAAUUUCACAUACAUUUGUUUUUAGGCUCCUCUCAAGUACUGCUAUUGA
RNAcentral lists this long non-coding RNA (2735 nucleotides) under Rattus norvegicus (Norway rat). RNAcentral's name for it is "long non-coding RNA NONRATT009016". Lineage: Eukaryota; Metazoa; Chordata; Mammalia; Rodentia; Muridae. The record is from RNAcentral.